Molecule: ribosomal RNA, 1438 nt
Filed under: metagenome
Description: bacterial SSU rRNA
Rfam family: Bacterial small subunit ribosomal RNA
Source: RNAcentral
CUGUUCCGACCUUCUAGCGGCGGACGGGUGAGUAACGCGUAAGUAACCUGCCCUUUAGUUGGGGAUAACAUCUCGAAAGGGAUGCUAAUACCGAAUGUGGUCGCUCUGCUGUAAGGUGGGGUGAGUAAAGGCUUCGCCCGCUAAAGGAGGGGCUUGCGUCUUAUUAGCUAGUUGGUGGGGUAACGGCCUACCAAGGCUACGAUGGGUAGCUGGUCUGAGAGGAUGAUCAGCCAUAUUGGGAUUGAGAUACGGCCCAGGCUCCUACGGGAGGCAGCAAGUCAGAAUAUUGCACAAUGGGCGAAAGCCCGAUGCAGCGACGCCGCGUGGGUGAUGAAGGCUCUCGGGUUGUAAAGCCCUGUCAAGCGGGACGAAAAAAAUGACGGUACCGCUAGAGGAAGCCCCGGCUAACUACGUGCCAGCAGCCGCGGUGAUACGUAGGGGGCGAGCGUUGUCCGGAAUUAUUGGGCGUAAAGAGCGCGUAGGCGGGUAUGUAAGUCGGCUAUGAAAUCUCCAGGCUCAACCUGGAGGGGUUGGUCGAAACUACAUAUCUUGAGUACGGGAGAGGGAAGUGGAAUUCCUAGUGUAGCGGUGGAUUGCGUAGAUAUUAGGAGGAACACCAGUGGCGAAGGCGGCUUCCUGGCCCGAUACUGACGCUGAGGCGCGAAAGCUAGGGGAGCGAAUGGGAUUAGAUACCCCAGUAGUCCUAGCCGUAAACGAUGGACACUAGGUGUAGGAGGUAUCGACCCCUCCUGUGCCGCAGCUAACGCAAUAAGUGUCCGGCCUGGGGAUUACGGCCGCAAGGCUAAAACUCAAAGGAAUUGACGGGUCCCCGCACAAGCGGUGGGGUAUGUGUUUAAUUGGAAGCUACGCCAAAAACCUUACCGGGGUUUGACAUCCCCCGACGAGCCCAGAGAUGGGAAGUUCGGCUUCUAUCGAAGCCGACGGGGAGACAGGUGGUGCAUGGCAGUCGUCAGCUCGUGUCGUGAGAUGUUGGGUUAAGUCCCGCAACGAGCGCAACCCUUACCCUUAGUUGCCAGCACGUAAUGGUGGGAACUCUAAGGGAACUGCCAACGGUGAGUUGGAGGAAGGUGGGGAUGAUGUCAUGUCCGCAUGCCCCUUAUACCCCGGGCUACACACGUGCUACAAUGGCCUGCACAACGGGCAGCGAAGGAGUGAUCCGGAGCAAAUCCCUUAAAGCAGGUCCCAGUUCGGAUUGCAGGCUGCAACUUGCCCGCAUGAAGGAGGAAUCGCUAGUAAUCGCGGAUCAGCACGCCGCGGUGAAUACGUUCCCGGGGAUUGUACACACCGCCCGUCAAGCCAUGAAAGCUGGCAGUACCCGAAGUCGCUGUCCUAACCCGCAAGGGAGGGAAGCGCCGAAGGUAAGGCUGGUGAUUGGGGCUAAGUCGUAACAAGGUAGCCGUAGCGGAAGCUGCGGCUG